CAGACGAAUCCAAUGAACAAGGCUAUUCUUUCCAAUUGGGAAUUGAGGAUCCGCAUCUCCGUUAAUCUGAUCCUUAAAAAUACUGAAAAAACAAUUAAAAACCAAGAAACAAAAAUCAAUUUUCAAUUUAAGCAUAAUACUAGUUAUAAUACAAAACAGAAACUGAAAUUAAUAAUCAUAAUAAUUUAAAAAUUAACCACCUUCGAACUCUUCAUCUUCGAAAUGGAGUUCCUCAGAAUGUUGAUCUUCAAAAUGUUGAUCCAUAACGAAAGUUACUGGAAGGAGAAGGAGAAAAACUGAAAUGGGGUAAGAAAGGAAAAGGAGAAAGACUAAAAUUGGGGAAGAAAUGAAAGCACGG
This 358-nucleotide long non-coding RNA is filed under the name Malus domestica (apple). Its description in RNAcentral is "long non-coding RNA (MDOM_LNC013244)". The record is from RNAcentral. Lineage: Eukaryota; Viridiplantae; Streptophyta; Magnoliopsida; Rosales; Rosaceae.